GCCCGGAUAGCUCAGUUGGUAGAGCAACGGAUUGAAAAUCCGUGUGUCGGCGGUUCAAAUCCGUCUCCGGGCACCA
RNAcentral lists this transfer RNA (76 nucleotides) under Pseudorhodobacter sp. RNAcentral describes it as "tRNA-Phe". It matches the Rfam family "tRNA". From Rfam's summary of the family: Transfer RNA (tRNA) molecules are approximately 80 nucleotides in length. Their secondary structure includes four short double-helical elements and three loops (D, anti-codon, and T loops). RNAcentral also lists the same sequence under 2 other names. Lineage: Bacteria; Pseudomonadati; Pseudomonadota; Alphaproteobacteria; Rhodobacterales; Paracoccaceae. The record is from RNAcentral.